AACUGAGUUCGCUCUAUAACCCUUUGUGACAUACCUAUAACUGUUGCUUCUGCGGGUAGGGUCUCCGCGACCCUCCCGGCCUCCCGCCUCCGGGCGGGUCGGCGCCCGCCGGAGGAUAACCAAACUCUGAUUUAACGACGUUUCUUCUGAGUGGUACAAGCAAAUAAUCAAAACUUUUAACAACGGAUCUCUUGGUUCUGGCAUCAAUGAAGAACGCAGCGAAAUGCGAUAAGUAAUGUGAAUUGCAGAAUUCAGUGAAUCAUCGAAUCUUUGAACGCACAUUGCGCCCGCCAGCAUUCUGGCGGGCAUGCCUGUUCGAGCGUCAUUUCAACCCUCAAGCUCUGCUUGGUGUUGGGGCCCUACAGCUGAUGUAGGCCCUCAAAGGUAGUGGCGGACCCUCCCGGAGCCUCCUUUGCGUAGUAACUUUACGUCUCGCACUGGGAUCCGGAGGGACUCUUGCCGUAAAACCCCCCAAUUUUCCAAAGGUUGACCUCGGAUCAGGUAGGAAUACCCGCUGAACUUAAGCAACAAUG
RNAcentral lists this ribosomal RNA (533 nucleotides) under Colletotrichum gloeosporioides. RNAcentral describes it as "eukaryotic LSU rRNA". The stretch from base 172 to 325 matches the Rfam family "5.8S ribosomal RNA". Lineage: Eukaryota; Fungi; Ascomycota; Sordariomycetes; Glomerellales; Glomerellaceae. The record is from RNAcentral.